AAUAAACAAACAAAACUUAUAGAAAAGUAACCCAAACCACAGGUGGUUGUACUGAAUCUUUCUAUUGUUUUAUAUACUAUCCUUCUGAAUUACAUCUGAAUUGACAACUACAGUAAAAAACACAAAUAGAUAUUUAUCAGAGGUGAACUCGUCAUCAUGAAUGAAAUGCACUUCCUAAAGGUAAAAACUAGAAAAUACAAGGAGUACAAGGAGUCUGGAAACUAGAAACUAGAGAUUUGUAAUCUGGGAACUUGAAACUAUGAAUGCUGUGAUCAAGGCAGAAGUAAUGCGGGAUAAACGGAAGAAACAGGAACUGUGAAAACCAGGAAGUAAGACUGCAUGUAACCAGAAGGCUGCAUUGUACAUAGCAGAACCUGAUAGAGUGGAAAAAAUAAACCGUAUGAACUGGGAAAUAUAGCAGUAUUAACAAGAAGCAGGCAGUGUACAUGGCAAGGAUAAAUAUCCUGAAAUUCCUAAAUAGAAGAAGAAUAGUAGAAGAAUACAAACAAAAACAAUAGUGUUUCAGCACCAUCAGUGCUUGACCCUUCAACUAAGAUUGUGAUUGAGAACCAUAUUCAUUCUUCAUUUUCUUUGCUCUACUGAAGCUGUAACCAGAGGCACACCCUGGAGUUGCUGGACAGGUAUAGACUGG
Ictalurus punctatus (channel catfish) is the source of this 652-nucleotide long non-coding RNA. RefSeq lists it as uncharacterized. The transcript has 2 exons. The record is from RefSeq and is a predicted model, not a curated record. NCBI's taxonomy places the organism in Eukaryota, Metazoa, Chordata, Actinopteri, Siluriformes, Ictaluridae.